CAUGCAAGUCGAGCGGCACUUGACAGCGUAUCGUCAAGUGUAGCGGCAGACGGGUGAGUAAUACUUGGGCAAUCUGCCCUUUAGUGGAAAACAACCUACCGAAAGGUGGGCUAAUGUUCCAUAAGACCACAGGAUGGCAUCAUCCAGGGGUUAAAGCUUCGCAAGGAGCGCUAGAGGAGGAGCCCGAAUCCUAUCAUGGUAGUUGGUGAGGUAACGGCUCACCAAGCCUUCGACGGGUAGCCGACCUGAAAGGGUGAUCGGCCACACUGGCACUGAGACACGGGCCAGACUCCUACGGGAGGCAGCAGUGGGGAAUUUUGGACAAUGGGGGCAACCCUGAUCCAGCGACGCCGCGUGAAGGAUGAAGGUCUUACGGAUUGUAAACUUCUUUUACAGGGGAUGAAUUGAUCGUUGAAGAGACGAUUUCGACAGUACCCUGUGAAUAAGCCACGGCUAACUACGUGCCAGCAGCCGCGGUAAUACGUAGGUGGCAAGCGUUACUCGGAAUUACUAGGCGUAAAGCGCAGGUAGGCGGUUUGGAAAGUUUCUUGUGAAAGCUCCCGGCUUAACUGGGAGAGGCCAAGGAAAACUACCAGGCUAGAGUGUGGAAGAGGAAGCUAGAAUUCCCGGUGUAGCGGUGAAAUGCGUAGAUAUCGGGAGGAAUACCUAUGGCGAAAGCAGGCUUCUGGUCCAUCACUGACGCUGAUCUGCGAAAGCUAGGGGAGCAAACAGGAUUAGAUACCCUGGUAGUCCUAGCCCUAAACGAUGCUCAUUAGGUGUGGAAGGUAUCGACCCCUCCCGCGCCGAAGCUAACGCAUUAAAUGAGCCGCCUGGGGAGUACG
This 842-nucleotide ribosomal RNA is filed under the name uncultured bacterium. RNAcentral describes it as "bacterial SSU rRNA". It matches the Rfam family "Bacterial small subunit ribosomal RNA", at positions 54 to 884 of the family's 1533-position model. The record is from RNAcentral.